GGGGAUGUAGCUCAGUGGUAGAGCGCAUGCU
RNAcentral lists this non-coding RNA (31 nucleotides) under Xenopus tropicalis (tropical clawed frog). Lineage: Eukaryota; Metazoa; Chordata; Amphibia; Anura; Pipidae. RNAcentral also lists the same sequence under 4 other names. The record is from RNAcentral.